This 384-nucleotide unclassified non-coding RNA is filed under the name uncultured Tepidisphaerales bacterium. Its description in RNAcentral is "contains 16S-23S intergenic spacer region". The record is from RNAcentral. Lineage: Bacteria; Pseudomonadati; Planctomycetota; Phycisphaerae; Tepidisphaerales.
UCCGAGUUGACCCCGGCAGUCUCCUAUGAGUCCCCGCCAUAACGCGCUGGUAACUAAGGGCAAAGGUUUCGCUCGUUAAGGGACUUAACCCGACAUCUCAAGACACGAGCUGACGACAGCCAUGCAGCACCUGUACCAGUUCCACCCCGAAGGGCGUACUCCGCUUUCACGGAGAUAAUCCUGGCGAGUCAAACCCAGGUAAGGUUCUGCGCGUUGCUUCGAAUUGAACCACAUGCUCCACCGCUUGUGUGAGCCCCCGUCAAUUCCUUUGAGUUUUAGCCUUGCGACCGUACUUCCCAGGCGGUCGACUUAGCACUUUUGCUUCGACCGUGAUAACGUCAGAGCUACCACGAUCUAGUCGACAUCGUUUAGGGCCAGGACUAC